This 76-nucleotide transfer RNA is filed under the name Candidatus Helicobacter avistercoris. RNAcentral's name for it is "tRNA-Glu". It matches the Rfam family "tRNA". From Rfam's summary of the family: Transfer RNA (tRNA) molecules are approximately 80 nucleotides in length. Their secondary structure includes four short double-helical elements and three loops (D, anti-codon, and T loops). Lineage: Bacteria; Pseudomonadati; Campylobacterota; Epsilonproteobacteria; Campylobacterales; Helicobacteraceae. The record is from RNAcentral.
GACCCCUUCAUCUAGUGGCCAAGGAUACUACCCUUUCUAGGUAGUUACAGAAGUUCAAAUCUUCUAGGGGUCGCCA